UACGGAGGGGGCGAGCGUUAUUCGGAAUUAUUGGGCGUAAAGGGCGCGUAGGCGGCCUUGUAAGUCAAAGGUGAAAUCCCUCGGCUCAACUGAGGAACUGCCUUUGAAACUGCAAGGCUUGAGGCCGGGAGGGGGUAGCGGAAUUCCCAAUGUAGCGGUGAAAUGCGUAGAUAUUGGGAGGAACACCAGUGGCGAAGGCGACUUACUGGACACAUAUUGACGCUGAGGUGCGAAAGCGUGGGGAGCGAACAGG
Molecule: ribosomal RNA, 253 nt
Filed under: uncultured bacterium
Lineage: Bacteria
Description: partial 16S ribosomal RNA
Rfam family: Bacterial small subunit ribosomal RNA
Source: RNAcentral